RNAcentral lists this small RNA (108 nucleotides) under Marmota monax (woodchuck). The record is from RNAcentral. Lineage: Eukaryota; Metazoa; Chordata; Mammalia; Rodentia; Sciuridae.
GCCAGGCAUGGUGGCUCACACCUGUGAUCCCAGCAUCUCUGGAGGCUGAGGCAGGAGGAUGGCAAGUUCAAAAGCCAGCCUCAGCAACUUAGCAAGACCCUGCCUCAA